RNAcentral lists this ribosomal RNA (322 nucleotides) under uncultured eukaryote. RNAcentral's name for it is "partial 18S ribosomal RNA". It matches the Rfam family "Eukaryotic small subunit ribosomal RNA", at positions 1470 to 1796 of the family's 1831-position model. The record is from RNAcentral.
CCCUUAGAUGUACUGGGCCGCACGCGUGCUACACUGAGUGGAUCAGCGGGUCAGGUUGCGCGAAAGCGUUUCCUAAUCUUUAAAUCCGCUCGUGAUGGGGAUUGACGGUUGCAAUUUUCUGUCAUGAACGAGGAAUACCUUGUAAGCGCGGGUCAUCAUCCCGCGCUGAAUACGUCCCUGCCCUUUGUACACACCGCCCGUCGCUCCUACCGAUUGAGUGGUCCGGUGAGGCUUUGGGAUCUGAGCGGAAAGAGCGUUUCGCUGUUUCUGCUCGGAAAACUCAGUCGAACCUUAUCAUUUAGAGGAAGGAGAAGUCGUAACA